This 496-nucleotide long non-coding RNA is filed under the name Callithrix jacchus (white-tufted-ear marmoset). RNAcentral describes it as "lncRNA (ENSCJAG00000079717.1)". The record is from RNAcentral. Lineage: Eukaryota; Metazoa; Chordata; Mammalia; Primates; Cebidae.
CAGUGCCCUGAACGGUCCCUCCAGAAGCACUGAAGUAGUUAACAAAUAUCUAGUGUCUACUUGGGAUGGAACACUGGCUCCGGUCCUGGGGAGAAGCAGAUGGGGACACAAAGACAAGUAAGACAAGGUCCCUGUCUAAUGGUAAGCAUCACUGUGUGACUCAGUUCUGGCCAAUUAUAUAGGAAGAAAGUCUCGGAUGAAGAAAGUCUUUUCUUUGUUAAUGAAAAGGAGAAUGCCUCUACAAGAAAAGAUCUUUUUCAAUACCACUCUGCUGCCCUCUUCGUACCUUGAUGUUGUUUGGAGCUACAGCACCCAUUCCAAGAUAAUGAGGUGGCCUUUGGCAUCACAUCCCUAUGAAGUUCCUUCCUCACUGAAUAUGGGCUGGUCUGUGACUUCUGUAACAAUUGAACAUAGCAGAAGAUAUGCUGUGCCUAUUUCAGAAACAUGCCUCAAGAAGACUUGGCAGUCCUGGCUUUUGCACUUUGGGAUCCCUUAG